This is a non-coding RNA of Stegodyphus mimosarum, 73 nucleotides long. The record is from Rfam. NCBI's taxonomy places the organism in Eukaryota, Metazoa, Arthropoda, Arachnida, Araneae, Eresidae.
GCCUUCGUGGUGUAGCGGUCAGCUCGCUCGACACGUAACCGAGAGGUCCGUGGUUAGAUUCCCUGCGAAAGCG